CCCGGACCGCGCCCCUGGCCCCCGCCCUGCCCGGGCGGGCACGUGAGCGUGCGCCGCGCCGUUUCUAAUUUUAGCUCCUGCGGCCUCUGUGGGGUCGUGUGAGCUGCCUGCCGCUUUCCGCUAUGAGUAGAAGCAGCCUGAGGCCUGUGCCAGAUGCAGCUGUCCCAGAAUCGUACCACAUGGGCUGUUGUGAACUGGAAGUUUUUGAAAAUUUGGAAUGAAUGACUAUGGUAUCUUCAAGCUUUUUAGGGGGUUAUGCCCCAUUCAGUAUCCACCUUAAAACAGUUUUUAAAGACUGACAUUUACAAUCUAAUACUAGUAUUCGUAGCAAUUAAAUACAGCCAGAAGUAUGCAUACUGUUUUAUAUUGUUCAUACAGCAGCAGAGUUCUCUUUGUCCUAAUUUUGUACGAUUGUAACCACAUUUUCCUCAAUGUAAUACCUAUUUUGGGAGGGUCUUAAAUUGAGCAGGUGUGAAUGAUGAUGACUCAUAUCCUCAAA
Cynocephalus volans (Philippine flying lemur) is the source of this 499-nucleotide long non-coding RNA. RefSeq lists it as uncharacterized. Lineage: Eukaryota; Metazoa; Chordata; Mammalia; Dermoptera; Cynocephalidae. The transcript has 3 exons. The record is from RefSeq and is a predicted model, not a curated record.